This 162-nucleotide ribosomal RNA is filed under the name Peucedanum guangxiense. RNAcentral's name for it is "5.8S ribosomal RNA". It matches the Rfam family "5.8S ribosomal RNA". Rfam says of the family: 5.8S ribosomal RNA (5.8S rRNA) is a component of the large subunit of the eukaryotic ribosome. Lineage: Eukaryota; Viridiplantae; Streptophyta; Magnoliopsida; Apiales; Apiaceae. The record is from RNAcentral.
AACGACUCUCGACAACGGAUAUCUCGGCUCUUGCAUCGAUGAAGAACGUAGCGAAAUGCGAUACUUGGUGUGAAUUGCAGAAUCCCGUGAACCAUCGAGUCUUUGAACGCAAGUUGCGCCCGAAGCCACUAGGCUGAGGGCACGUCUGCCUGGGUGUCACGC